This 1555-nucleotide ribosomal RNA is filed under the name Rhipicephalus microplus (southern cattle tick). Its description in RNAcentral is "SSU rRNA". It matches the Rfam family "Eukaryotic small subunit ribosomal RNA", at positions 3 to 1555 of the family's 1831-position model. The record is from RNAcentral. Lineage: Eukaryota; Metazoa; Arthropoda; Arachnida; Ixodida; Ixodidae.
CCUGGUUGAUCCUGCCAGUAAUCAUAUGCUUGUCUCAAAGAUUAAGCCAUGCAUGUCUAAGUACAUGCCGAAAUAAGGCGAAACCGCGAAUGGCUCAUUAAAUCAAUUAUGGUUCCUUAGAUCGUUUCUUCCUACUUGGAUAACUGUGGCAAUUCUAGAGCUAAUACAUGCAGUGAGCCUGGAGCCCUUUGGGUAACGGGUGCUUUUAUUAGACCAAGAUCGAUCGGGUUUCGGCCCGUAUUGUGUGGUGACUCUGGAUAACUUUGUGCUGAUCGCAUGGCCACGAGCCGGCGACGUUUCUUUCAAGUGUCUGCCUUAUCAACUUUCGAUGGUAGGUUACUUGCUUACCAUGGUUGUUACGGGUAACGGAGAAUCAGGGUUCGAUUCCGGAGAGGGAGCCUGAGAAACGGCUACCACAUCCAAGGAAGGCAGCAGGCGCGCAAAUUACCCACUCCCGGCACGGGGAGGUAGUGACGAAAAAUAACAAUACGGGACUCUUUUGAGGCCCCGUAAUUGAAAUGAGUACACUCUAAAUCCUUUAACGAGGAUCAAUUGGAGGGCAAGUCUGGUGCCAGCAGCCGCGGUAAUUCCAGCUCCAAUAGCGUAUACUAAAGCUGCUGCGGUUAAAAAGCUCGUAGUUGGAUCUCAGUUCCAGACGAGUAGUGCAUCUACCCGAUGAGACGGCUCGGACUGAACAUCAUGCCGGUUCUUUCUUGGUGCACUUCAUUGUGUGCCUCGAGAUGGCCGGUGCUUUUACUUUGAAAAAAUUAGAGUGCUCAACGCAGGCGAGUCGCCUGAAUAAACUUGCAUGGAAUAAUAGAACAAGACCUCGUUUCUGUUCUGUUGGUUUUUGGAAUACGAGGUAAUGAUUAAGAGGGACGGACGGGGGCAUUCGUAUUGCGGCGCUAGAGGUGAAAUUCUUGGACCGUCGCAAGAGGAACUACUGCGAAAGCAUUUGCCAAGAAUGUUUUCAUUGAUCAAGAACGAAAGUCAGAGGUUCGAAGGCGAUCAGAUACCGCCCUAGUUCUGACCAUAAACGAUGCCAACCAGCGAUCCGCCUGAGUUACUCAAAUGACUCGGCGGGCAGCUUCCGGGAAGAAACCAAACCGGGGUGUAUUUGGGUUCCGGGGGAAGUAUGGUUGCAAAGCUGAAACUUAAAGGAAUUGACGGAAGGGCACCACCAGGAGUGGAGCCUGCGGCUUAAUUUGACUCAACACGGGAAAACUUACCCGGCCCGGACUGGGAGGAUUGACAGAUUGAGGAGCUCUUUCUUGAGAUUCGGGUGAUGGGUGGUGUCAUGGCCGUUCUUCCCGUCUCCGGUGGAGCGAUUUUGGUGGUACUUCCGAUACACGAACACGAGGACUUCUGCUAUAAAUAGGUGGCGGGGUUCCCCGAGCACCUACAACGCGUUCUUAGAGACGAAGCGGUCCUAGGCCGCACGAAAGAGGCACAAUAACAGGUCUGUGAUGCCCUUAGAUGUCCGGGGCCGCACGCGCGCUACACUGAAGGAAGCAGCGUGUCUUUAUCCCUGUCUGAAAAGACUGGGUAACCCGUG